This 624-nucleotide ribosomal RNA is filed under the name uncultured archaeon. Its description in RNAcentral is "bacterial SSU rRNA". It matches the Rfam family "Archaeal small subunit ribosomal RNA", at positions 141 to 769 of the family's 1478-position model. The record is from RNAcentral.
UGAGGGUAAUACUGUAUAGGGAAAUCCAACUGGAAGGUGGAUUUCCUAAAACGCAAGGCCUAAGGAUGAGUCGGCGGCGGAUUAGGUUGUUGGCGAGGUAAUGGCUCACCAAGCCGAAGAUCCGUAGGGGCCUUGAGAGAGGUAGCCCCGAGAAGGGCACUGAGAUACUGGCCCUAGCUCCACGGAGUGCAGCAGGCGCGAAACCUUUACAAUGCGCGAAAGCGUGAUAAGGGAACCCUAAGUGAUGUUGCAAUGCAACAUCUUUUGCUAAGAGUAAAUAUCUUAGAGAAUAAGUGGUGGGCAAUACCUGUGCCAGCCGCCGCGGUAACCCAGGAGCCACAAGUGGCAACCACCUUUAUUGGGCCUAAAGCGUCCGUAGCCGGUUUUGUAAAUUUUCUGUGAAAUCGUUGCGCUUAACGUAACGGCGUGCAGAAAACACUGCAGGACUAGGGACCGGGAGGAGUUAGAGGUAUUUCGGGGGGAGCGGUAAAAUGCUAUAAUCCCCGAAGGACCACCUGUGGCGAAGGCGUCUAACUAGAACGGCUCCGACGGUGAGGGACGAAAGCUAGGGGAGCAAUCCGGAUUAGAUACCCGAGUAGUCCUAGCUGUAAACUCUGCGAGCUA